UACGGGGGGGGCAAGCGUUGUUCGGAAUUACUGGGCGUAAAGGGCUCGUAGGCGGCCAACUAAGUCAGACGUGAAAUCCCUCGGCUUAACCGGGGAAUUGCAUCCGAUACUGGAUGGCUUGAAUCCGGGAGAGGGAUGCGGAAUUCCAGGUGUAGCGGUGAAAUGCGUAGAUAUCUGGAGGAACACCGGUGGCGAAGGCGGCAUCCUGGACCGGCAUUGACGCUGAGGAGCGAAAGCCAGGGGAGCAAACGGG
RNAcentral lists this ribosomal RNA (253 nucleotides) under uncultured bacterium. RNAcentral describes it as "partial 16S ribosomal RNA". It matches the Rfam family "Bacterial small subunit ribosomal RNA", at positions 524 to 776 of the family's 1533-position model. The record is from RNAcentral.